This 74-nucleotide transfer RNA is filed under the name Acidobacteriota bacterium. RNAcentral describes it as "Acidobacteria bacterium (soil metagenome) tRNA-Arg". It matches the Rfam family "tRNA". Rfam says of the family: Transfer RNA (tRNA) molecules are approximately 80 nucleotides in length. Their secondary structure includes four short double-helical elements and three loops (D, anti-codon, and T loops). RNAcentral also lists the same sequence under 1 other name. The record is from RNAcentral. Lineage: Bacteria; Pseudomonadati; Acidobacteriota.
GCACCCGUAGCUCAGUUGGAUAGAGUGCAUGACUACGAAUCAUGAAGUCGCAAGUUCGAAUCUUGCCGGGUGUA